Long non-coding RNA from Manis javanica (Malayan pangolin), 2799 nucleotides. RefSeq lists it as uncharacterized. Lineage: Eukaryota; Metazoa; Chordata; Mammalia; Pholidota; Manidae. The record is from RefSeq and is a predicted model, not a curated record.
GCCGCGGGCGCUAGGACCCCGCGCGCCGCGCGCACUUCCUCCCGCCGCGGUCCGAGCCGCCCGCGCGGGGCCCGCGGCUCCCGCCCUCCGGCCGGCGCCGCCCUACCUGGCGAAGCAGUACUCGCAGUGGUUGCCCCGCUCGUUGACCUGAUUUUUUUUCCUGUCUCAUUGAGAAAGAUUUCCAAGAGCUGAGAAAACCAUAGCAUAGCUACCAAGUUGUCUUCCCAGGGACUGAAAAUGUCUCAGGAAUUAUGUAGAGGAAGACAUGUUUUAGGCAUUUCGGAAGAACACAUCUUUGAUCUAAAUGGCCAGAUUAACUUCCAGAAAGCCCUCCGAGAAUCAUGGAUCCCAAUGGCCUUCAACUGAGUUUUGCUCAGUUCAUCUCCACAAAUGUUGAUAACUCAGCUGGCCUUGCUGUUGCUGUGUCCCCUGUUCACUGCUUGCUUGCGCACGAGAUAGUGUGGAGGAAACACGGAGAAGAGCUCUGGAAUGUUUUCUGUAGUUCAAGGGAGUUAUAGAGAUCUACUUCCAAUCUACUUGUUUUGCUCCUCACAUCUACAGAUGGCUUUGAGAGCAUCCACUCUGGGCAUGGUCCUGUAUUGUUCCCCAUGGGAGGAGUAUAAAAGGUGAGUGGCAGUGAUUUUAAGGAAGUUCUUGUGAAAUCAAACGAUGGAAGGCUGACACAACAGAUCCAUGUGAGUGGACAGUCACAAACACGUACAAUAUCUGAAUGGACCGAGCUCUUUCAGGGAGAGUCCUCCAAGAUUUGGUUGAAAUUUUAUCCCAAUCUGCUUCCCCCCAGUUGUGCCCUGCCUUGACUCUUGUUGAGUGUAGUGCCGUGAGUUUGUAUUUUACUUGCAGGGAGUGCCCUUCUUAGGGAAUGGGCUGCCUUGCGCCACAAGUGUGGGCUUUUCUUCCCAGAGCCUUUGUUGUCAUCAUCUCUGAUCCAUGAAUGGUUCAGUGAAACUGAUGUUAUUGUGAAUUGUGUUAUUUCCUCUGCAUGACCCUUCUGAAAUACUGCUUUUAGCGACUACUCUCAUACCAUUUCAUUGCUCAAGAAAGCACUUGUGAUUUUGGUUAAGUUUCCAAACUUAAAGAUGGUCAUUAUGUUUCCAUCACUUUAUACAUUUACUUGUAGACCAAAAAAUACAGUGCUGCAGGUCAGCAUGAUACCUUUGGUCAGCUGCCUGAGGUCCUGGCUAACCCUGGAAGCUCUGCAGCUGCAGGAGUACGAAGCAAGGGAAUUCCCCUGAAGGCAAGAUGAAGUCCAUCUGGCCUUCCUCUGCCCCGUACCUGGCCCAGUGCCUUGCACAUAGUAGAUGCUCAAUAAAUAUUUGUACACUGAAAGAGAGCAAAGAGCAAAUGCAAUGUAAUAAUUCUCUUGCAGUCUCUAAAAAUAUUCCUCUGUGCAGCAGCUUCUGACGUAGAUGGUAUUUAACAGACACCCGUAUGUACAAGGCUUUGUGUUUCAAAUUUGUUAAUUGAUUCAAUACCCAUAACCAUCCUGUGAGCUGACUUACAAAUUCAAAUCUAGCAGUUAGAAUUUUCUCAGCAGACUUGAGGAGAAUAUGUUUGUCCCAAACUUCUAGUCUAGUAUCAGAUUUCAUCUAUGAAAACUCAGGCCUGGUUGGGGCAAAAAUUCCUUGGUAGCUUGACUUCAGCUUCCUGGAUACUCAGCACAUUUCCCUCUUGCAGUCUAACAUCAGAGGCAGUUCUCUCAUAGUCCGAGAAGUGUCUGGCUUCUCUGGUUUCCAUGUACUAUAUUUCAAAGUUAAGAACAUAUAUAUAUUGUAAAAGUAGUAUGUUUUGCAAAACAUUCAACUAAUGCAGAAGCAUAUUUAAAUAAAGACAUAAAAUGCUUGCUUCUUUCUCUCUUCUCUAGACUUUAACUGUGAAAUUUAUGCACCAGAGGUAGCUGCCACUUGUCAUUAUCAGUUUGGGGUGUUUUCCCGUAUAUUUUCUGAGCCUUGUUCUAGGAUCAUAUUAUUCAUAUUGUUUUGCAACCUUAGUGUUUUUUAUUUAACAGUAUAAUGUGGACCUCUUCCAUGGCAGAAAAUUUAAUUUAACUAAUUUUUUUAGUGGCUUCAAAGCAAUGACUAUCAACAAAUAGCAUUUAUUGAGUGUGUGGAGGAACCACUAUUGAGUAUUAUUUAAUUUUAUUAUCACAAAAGCCAUUCGAAGUAGGAAAUUUUGUCCACUUUUAUUUUUAUAUGAGUAAAUUGAGCACUUUUUUAUUUAUCAUAAUUCAUUUAACUAGUCUCUAAUAAGGCACAUGCAAUCAAAUAUAUAUAUGUAUAUGUUAUCUGCAAUGAGCAUCUGUGGGGUAAAAUCCUAGAUUCAUUUUUUUCCCAUGCCUAUUUUUGACAGCUCGCUAUGUACCAGGAAGUGUUCUGGCAUGACUAAUACUGUGUUGAAGACAAACAGGGAUCCUGUCUCAAUGGUACUUACAUGCUAGUGGAUAAACAGAUAAUAAUUAGACAGAUACCUAUCAUGAUAUAUAUAUAUAUUUAUAUAUAUGUCAGAUAAUGGUGUAUACUAAGAAUAAAAAGGAGAGUGAUAGCAUGGCUAUUUCAGAAAAGGUGGUGAGGGACAGUUUCUCUGAGGGACCUGAACGCUCAGUGAACAUCUGAGCUCCUACAGCACAUUGAGGGAGAGAACAUUCUAGAACAGCAGGCACAAAGGCCCCAUCUGAGAUGAAAAUGAUUCUGGUAUGUUCAAGGAGAGAAAGGAAUAUCUAAGAUGACUCCUAGGUUUGGGGACUUGAGGAAAAUGCUAAGUGGUAGGGCCCUUUAUUGAGAC